Molecule: ribosomal RNA, 235 nt
Filed under: uncultured bacterium
Lineage: Bacteria
Description: partial 16S ribosomal RNA
Rfam family: Bacterial small subunit ribosomal RNA
Source: RNAcentral
UGAGCGACCUACCUAAUUGUGGGGGAUAGCCGGCCCAACGGCCGGGUAAUACCGCAUACGAUCGGAGAGGGGCAUCCCUUUCUGAGGAAAGCCUUCGGGCGCAAUUUGAGGGCUUGCGGCCUAUCAGCUAGUUGGUGUGGGUAAUGGCCCACCAAGGCGACGACGGGUAGCCGGCCUGAGAGGAUGACCAGCCACACUGGGACUGAGACACGGCCCAGACUCCUACGGGAGGCAG